UCCCAGCUGACACUUAUGUGCAUUUUAGUCACAUAAAUAUCAGGUAGACUGUUUACUGAUACAGAGACCUUUUAAAGGCACUGUUAUUUAGCGGUGCUGAGUACAUACAUACAUACAUAUAUAAAAAACUUUUUAAUGUGUUUACACUAAAUAUUACAUUUAUGU
Xiphophorus hellerii (green swordtail) is the source of this 165-nucleotide long non-coding RNA. RefSeq lists it as uncharacterized. The record is from RefSeq and is a predicted model, not a curated record. The transcript is spliced from 4 exons. Lineage: Eukaryota; Metazoa; Chordata; Actinopteri; Cyprinodontiformes; Poeciliidae.